Molecule: non-coding RNA, 29 nt
Filed under: Mus musculus (house mouse)
Lineage: Eukaryota; Metazoa; Chordata; Mammalia; Rodentia; Muridae
Source: RNAcentral
UGCUUCACUAAGAAAGACAAGUCUGGGAA